UACACACCGCCCGUCACACCAUGGGAGUGGGUUCACCAGAAGCAGGUUGCCUAACCGCAAGGGGGCGCCUACCACGGUGAGCUCCAUGACGUGGGGUGAAGUCGUAACAACGGUACC
RNAcentral lists this ribosomal RNA (117 nucleotides) under uncultured bacterium. RNAcentral describes it as "partial 16S ribosomal RNA". It matches the Rfam family "Bacterial small subunit ribosomal RNA", at positions 1384 to 1500 of the family's 1533-position model. The record is from RNAcentral.